RNAcentral lists this long non-coding RNA (483 nucleotides) under Panax ginseng (ginseng). Its description in RNAcentral is "long non-coding RNA (PGIN_LNC014625)". The record is from RNAcentral. Lineage: Eukaryota; Viridiplantae; Streptophyta; Magnoliopsida; Apiales; Araliaceae.
GCUACCGGGGGCAACUGCCCCCACCCGCCCCCCUUGGUUCCGCCUCUGAUUGUUAGUAGUCUGGUUGGGUAGGUUUUGAAAUUCUAUGAUGAGUCUAGCUUUUUUCUUUUUUUUUCUAGGCUUUAUAUAUGUCCACUCGUAUGUUAUGUUGUUUUUUCAUGGUUCAAGAAAAUAUGUGCUCUGAUGUUUUCCCGAAUUGGAAAAAAUGUUAUGUUCCAGAUUAUCAAAGUCAUCUAACAGGUAUGUGUAAGGAAUCAUUAGAAUUGUUCAGUGGAACAAUAGUGGUAUACUGAGUGACAGUGUGAAUUUAAGAGAAAAAUAACAUAGAAGUGCAGAUAGUAGAGAAUGAGGGAGAGAGAUUUCAGAAGAAGUAGGGAGCAAGAAAGCAAUCAAUAUAGCCAUCUCAGCUUAAUAUCUAGAAGGGACUCUAGCACAUGCCACUCUACAGCUCAGCUAUUUGAGCAACAAACUGCUGACAUGACA